UGGCAAGUCCAACCUGGAGUCCUUAGUGGCCACUAGGAGGUAGGCUGGAUUGCUGGGCUUCAGUCCAGCUCAUCAGUACAGGCAAUCAAACUCUUCAGAGUAUUUCAUCAUCCCAGCCGCUCAAGGUGGGGGUGGUGGUAUUUGAGAAACUUUGGCAACUCCCGUCUCAAUCCCUGAAGAGUGCCAACAGAGUCACCUUUCCCAACUCAUCUAUUUUUCUUGGUAUCAGGGACAUCUCUCACUCAAUAAAUCUAAAUCACCUUUGCUUUUACCAUGAAAGGAUCUUGAAAGCGUGCUUAGAGACUCCAAGUUCUCACUGGGACCGUUGGACUCCAGGGUCUAGCAUUUACCCAACUGACCACAUUGCCCAACUGGAUGCAUUUGCUAGAGGCAGGUCAUUAAGUUCAAGCGCUUGUAAACAAUUCCCAGGGAACGGGGACAGCUGAUUCCGCAGACAGCUUAGGAAUGGUUUUAGCAACAUGCACUUCAUCUGGGGCAAGCUACCUCUACUACGUGCACGCACACAGACACAUAUACACACGCACACACAUAUCCCACUGGAGAAGAUAAAACAGGAAGAUGGAAAUAGGAGCUCUAGUGAAGAUGAUGUUGUGGAGGAGAACAGCGCCCAGUCCAGCCUUGCCCAUCAAAGCAGAUGGAACGGAGAGGAAGUUCACCCUGGCUUCCUUUGCACUACCCCUGUGACCUAAGUAAGUUGGCCGCCUUCUCUGCACUUCGUCUCGCCACUUUGUUGAGCAGGCAUCCUCCAUGUUUUACAUUUGCAGACCAGAUGUAGGAGGC
RNAcentral lists this long non-coding RNA (801 nucleotides) under Macaca mulatta (Rhesus monkey). RNAcentral describes it as "lncRNA (ENSMMUG00000053001.1)". The record is from RNAcentral. Lineage: Eukaryota; Metazoa; Chordata; Mammalia; Primates; Cercopithecidae.